This 450-nucleotide ribosomal RNA is filed under the name uncultured bacterium. RNAcentral's name for it is "partial 16S ribosomal RNA". It matches the Rfam family "Bacterial small subunit ribosomal RNA", at positions 338 to 795 of the family's 1533-position model. The record is from RNAcentral.
CCUACGGGUGGCAGCAGUACGGAAUAUUGGUCAAUGGACGCAAGUCUGAACCAGCCAUGCCGCGUGGAGGAUGAAGGUCCUCUGGAUUGUAAACUUCUUUUCUUUGGGAAGAAACUCCCGAUUUCCAUCGGGAUUGACGGUACCAGAUGAAUAAGCACCGGCUAACUCCGUGCCAGCAGCCGCGGUAAUACGGAGGGUGCAAGCGUUAUCCGGAUUCACUGGUUUUAAAGUGGGCGUAUGAGUCCAGGGUGAAAUCUCCGGGCUUAACCCGGAAACUGCCAUUGAUACUAUUUGUCUUGAAUACUCUGGAGGUGAGCGGAAUAUGUCAUGUAGCGGUGAAAUGCUUAGAUAUGACAUAGAACACCCAUUGCGAAGGCAGCUCACUACGGAAAUAUUGACGCUGAGGCACGAAAGCGUGGGGAUCAAACAGGAUUAGAUACCCUUGUAGUC